GCCCGGUGGCCUUGCUGGGGGGCAGAGAUGGGGGGCAGCGGGCCCGGCGGCGAGCCGGCAGAGCUGCUCAGGCGUGAUUGUGUGCAGAGCGACUCCCCGAUUCAGCGAGGAACAUAAUCUUUACUGGGCUUUGAGAUUAAAUCAUUCUGGGAUGGGGAUGCUGUCACUGAAAAAGCGCCUGCUAUAAACUACAUUUGACAGCCCUGUAAUCUGCAGCAGACAGU
Melospiza melodia melodia is the source of this 224-nucleotide long non-coding RNA. RefSeq lists it as uncharacterized. The record is from RefSeq and is a predicted model, not a curated record. Lineage: Eukaryota; Metazoa; Chordata; Aves; Passeriformes; Passerellidae. The transcript is spliced from 3 exons.